Firmicutes bacterium CAG:227 is the source of this 126-nucleotide regulatory RNA element. It matches the Rfam family "azaaromatic riboswitch aptamer (yjdF RNA)". The record is from Rfam. Lineage: Bacteria; Bacillati; Bacillota.
CAAAACAAAGAUAAAAACGCAACGUACAUCUUUGAUGUGCCAGAGCCGGUAGGUAGCCCGGUCGUCCUAUAUAAAUAGGGUAAGUAACCUGCCCCUCCGGGUUGUCCUCUGUUGUGUAAAAAGUUU